Molecule: long non-coding RNA, 802 nt
Organism: Apis florea (little honeybee)
Lineage: Eukaryota; Metazoa; Arthropoda; Insecta; Hymenoptera; Apidae
Source: RefSeq, a predicted model, not a curated record
UAAAUAUAUUCUACAGCUUAUAAUACUGAAAUCUUAAUCAUAAAGUUUUCAAUCAAAUGUUAAGUAUAGGCAUCAAUUGAUUUACAAGAAGUUAGAUUAUCUAAAUGUUUGCUUUUUAAAUGAAAAGAAUCAGAACAAAUUUGAAAUACGAAUAACUUCGCUGUUGACAAGCCGAAGUUCAACCGUCGACAGACGGCUACGAAUAGAAUACGAAUACGCUCUCGCAUCGCUAUUUAUACUUUACGUGAAGAGAAGGGAGUUGAUACUGCGCAUGUGCACUUUACGAAAUCAAAACUACGCGGUUUAACAAUUGUGAAGAGGUAUCUUAAUAUUAACAUAAGAGUAUAACGUAAAAUAAUUUUGUAUCAACAUGUUGAAAAAGUUAAAAAAAAAAAAUAACCAAAAUUGAAAUAAAAUUACCAUACAAAAAAGAAAGCUUGAAGAAAUAAAAUUAAAUGCAAGAAAGAAGCAAGAAAAAAAGAAAAGAAACGAGAGCAUGGAAAUAUAUAAGAAAAAGUAACGAAUAAGAAAGGACAACUGGAAAGUAUAAGAUAAGAUCACAGUAUUAAUGGUAACCUUAAAAGAUAAAAUGGAAACAGAACGAGGACGGAGAUUCAACAAAGAAAUAGAGAAACGACGAAAAAGUAAACGUUGGUGGACGGGUUGGAUAGACUGAAACAACUGAAGAUGAUGAAUUAAGCUUGGUCUUUUUCUGAACUCAAUUCUCGAUGUUGAUGAAUCGAAUUGGAUGAUAGAACUUUGAUGAUAGACGUAAUAAAACCUAUUCUUCAUCCUUUAAAAA